This 4247-nucleotide long non-coding RNA is filed under the name Homo sapiens (human). Its description in RNAcentral is "HSALNT0320618". Lineage: Eukaryota; Metazoa; Chordata; Mammalia; Primates; Hominidae. The record is from RNAcentral.
GUGGGUGGAAGCUGUAUCUCCUUUGCUACAACCUUGCUACCUAGAGCUAUUUUUUGAUAAAAGCAAGCUUUGAAUCAAAUUUUGCCUCAGGUACAAGGAUCUAUUGUUCCGCAAGCACAAAAACAAUUAUAUAGCCAGUUCAUAUAAGCACAGUGAAGUCCUCAUUCUCUCUCCUUUCAGGUUUCUGAGCAAGAUGCUUGCAUGAAAGAUUCAAUCUAAGGCCAAUGCAAAAAUAUUGUGAAAGCAGCAGGAUCAGCUAGCCUUCCAGUUGGCUUCUUAAAUGCUGCAUUGAAAGGAUGAAACAGAACGGAUGUGAACAAGAGUUCCCUGAGAAAGGACAGCUCUUAGAGAGAUAGGAUAAUUACUGGACUCAAGAAGAUACCAAAUCAUGGUGUGCAUUUCUGCGUUGUGUUUGGAAGAGGAACUAGGAUUGUUAUGAAAAGGAAGGAUGUGUUCAACUUAGAAGAAUUAAACCUCAACCAUCUGUCUCUUCCAAAUGGCAUUCUUGAUUCUAAAAAUCUUAAGUAGAGUGUAAAGUUAUUGUUGGAUACUGUAGUAGCCAGGCUAAGCUGAGCUAUUCAGUGGAACAGAUAAACCCGAAAAUCUCAGUGGCUUAACACAACAAGAUUUAUUUCUUUUUAGUAUCACAAUCUGAUGUAGAUUGGGUUGGUCUCCUGCUUGGCUUUCCAUCAAGUGACAGCUCAGGGAUCCAAGUUGCUUUUAUUUGGAAACUGUCAUCUUGAGAGCAUUUUGUUUCCAGCUGUAUGGACAGGAGAUCCAGAAGGUGUGGAGAAGUGCAUCCUUCCUGGAUCACAAAUGAUACAUCACUUUAGCUCACAUUCCAUUGUUAAGAAUUAGUGACAUGAUCCCACUGGGAUUCAUGGGGUCUGGGAUAUGGAACACUUGGAUAUUUGGCGAGCAUGAACAAUCUUUGCCAUAGAAACAUUGCCUCUAUAAUGUUAUUCUAUAUCCCUUAUCUUCUCAUGGUAGAUUUCACAUAGGAUUAGUAUCAGGAAAACGUUUUUCUCUCCUAAAAUGUUGGUAUUCUUCUUUUUUCCCUCUGGAGUCAGGAACUUUAGAUUUAAUAUUAAUGACUAUCUAAUCUGAGAUUUUUAGUAGCAUCAUGUAUCCUAUUUCUCUAUUGUGUUUCUGGAAUAGUUUUAUUAUUGUAUUUUAACUGACUAACUGUAUUUGAUUUUUUAAAAAUUGCCAUAAUCCUUUCUAGUUUUAGCUGUUCAUUUAAUGAACACUUACCAAUAGCAGAUGUGUUGAUAAGGAUGAAGGAUGUUUUUGGCUGCAACAGAAAAACUAAUAAGUGGUUUAAGCAAUAAGAGUUUAAUUAUCUGACACAAGAAGUCUGGCAGUUUCAGGAUAGGUUAAUUCAAUGGUGUGAUAUCAUAGAGGAUCAUGUAUACUCACUUUUUCUGUUUUAUAAACUUCAGCGUUUGAUGGUGUUCCCCCUUCCUGUCACAUACAGGUUAGUAGUUCCAAGUGUUGCUUGUCAUGGUAGACCCUAGUCAGGCCUGGGUCUUGUGACGCAGGAGACAAAUAUGCUCAUAGACUUGUCGUUAUGACAUGGCUGCAGUGUGGUGCCACCAGGCCUGCAUCACGCCUACUCAUCAUAUAAUAUUAGAUUAUAUAGUCUGUGGAAAAUGUUGCAAAAUGAUACUGGUGGCAGGGUCAGAAAUUGUAUUCAGACUUUGAUGUUAGAUCCAGGCAAAUGGCUUGUUGAAAAGAGAUUUCUCUUUAGAGAGAAAUCAUGUUGGUGUACCAGGUGACAUGUUUGGUUGGGGGUGGGGUGGGGGGACUGCUUGGAUAGCAUGGUAGUGAUAGAAGUGUGAUAAGCUGGAUGCUGGAUAUAGUUAGAAGGAUUUACUGAUCAAUUGGAUGUGAGGAGUGAUAUAGAGAGAGAUGUUGGGAAUGACUCCAAGUUUUGGCCUGAGUGAUGGGAAAAAUUGAGUUGCUAUUUAUCAAGAUAGGGAAGACCAAUGAGUUUGGUGCUGUCAUAAAAUAAAAUGUAUCAGAUUUUUAGCAACAACUGGAAGUAAGACAUUGCAAGGAGUCUGGGCUGGGCUGAGAUAGAGUUCAGAUGGGGAGCUGGAAUCAGACUGCUGCCCCAGGUCCUGGGACCCUGCCAUGCAGAAAAGACACCUGGCAUGGGCAAGGACUCCAGUAUGCCGGAGCCUCUUCCUCCUUUCUCAGGCCAAAUUUGUGUCCUUGCAAAAUUUGGCUACAAAUGUUAAAUUUACAAAGACCUCUGAUACCCAUUAUCCCACCCAACUCUCUGGAGAGCCUUUGUAAUGUGGUAACUGCUCUUAUGCACAUAGCCAAAGACUUGAAAACAGUCUCAGAAAAGCUGUAAUUUCUACCUUCAUUCAUUUAAAGAAAACUUACUAAACACUUAUUUAUUUAUUUUUAUUUUAUUUAUUUAUUUAUUUUUGAGGCACAGUCUCAGUUUGUUGCCCAGGCUGGGGUGAAGUGGCACGAUCUCGGCUCACUGCAACCUCUGCCUCUCGGGUUCAAGCGAUUCUCCUGCCUCAGCCUCCCAAGUAGCUGGGACUACAGUCAUGCACCACCACCCCCGACAAAUUUUUGUACUUUUGGUGGAGACAGGGUUUCACCAUGUUGGCCAGGCUGGUCUCGAACUCCUGACCUCAAGGGACCUGACUGCCUCUGCCUCCCAAAGUGCUGGGAUUACAGGCAUGAGCCACUGUGCCUGGUCCCAAACAUCUAUUAGGUACUUGCUGUAUGUGGUGAAAUAAACCCCAGCUCUCCUGAUUCAAGGUUAGUGUUCUUUUCACAAAUCUACUUCAAUACAUCAAAUCCUACUUCUCUUUCUUUCUAUAUUUAACUCAUAAAUAUUCCUCUUCUGUCAUUUGUGGUUUUGAAAUGUCUGCAAACUCAUGGAUACUAUUCACUUCUAAUGAAUAGAAUAAAGCAGAAGUGAUGGAAUAUAACUUCAGAGGCCAUUUCAUGAAAGCCACUGUGGCUUCCUACUUGUUCUCUUGCUCUCUCUCUUAGAACACUUGCUCUGGGGAAAGCCAGCUGCCAUAUUGUGAGCAGACCUAUGAAAAGGCCCACUUGGUGAAGAACUGAGGCCUCUGGCUGAUGGACACAUGGGUGACCUUGCAAUCAAGUCUUCUGGCUUCAACCAAGCCUUCAGCUGAGACUGCAGCCUCAUGAAAGAUCCUGAGCUAGAAGCAUCCUGCCAUCCUAAUAAGCCACUCUUGAAUUUCUGACCCUUAAAAAUUGUGAGAUAAGCACCUGUGCUUUUUUUAAGUGUUAGAUUUAAAAAACCCUGAAAAAAUAAAGAAGAAAAAAGACAACUCAUAAUCUCACCACAUUAAAAAGAAUAGCUAUAGAAAAAUUCCAGUAGUAUAAAAAGGAAAAAUGGAAAUAACUUCCCACCAUCCCUGAUCUUUAGUUCUUUUUCCCACAGUGACAUUUUCUUUCCCAAGAAAUGUUCAUGCAUAUGCAAUAUAUGUGUAAACCCUUUAAGAUGUUCACAAAAGGAUCAUGUUACACUCAUUCGAAAAACUUAAUAUUAUAUCUUGAAGGUGUCUUCAUAUCAGUAUAUAUAUAUCUAUCUUAGUUUGUUAAUAGAUUUCCCAUAAUUUAAAUGUACCAUAUUUCUUUUACCAGUCCCCAUAUAUGGACAUUUAGGAUAUUUCCAGUAUUCUUUUCUGUUAUAAAAAUAUGGUGAUAAACAUUUUCAUGCUUUUUUGAGUAUCUUCAAGUAAAGUCCUAUGGGUAGCAUUCUGGCAUCACGUUGUAUAUGCAUUUAAAGUUGAUGCUAUUCACUUGUUCCACAAUCUUUGCUCCGAGUUUACACUGAUGAAGCAUGAGAAUGCUAUAUCCCCACAAACCUGUGCAUAUUGUUGAUAGUAAGCAUUGUUUGCUAUUUUCUGACUAUUCAUUUUUCUUCUUUUGAGAAUUGCCAUGCCUAGAAGAGUGCCUGUCUUGUAAUAUAUAAGAUAAUAACUUGAUAGCUAGCAUUUCUGAGGCUUCUUGUGCCUUUAACGUAUAUUUACUGUUUUGAUACUUACAAAGACCCUAUGAAGUACGUACUAUUAUUAUCUGCUUAUGGCUGGUGGGAAAACUGAGCUGUACAGAAUUUAAACAAACUGUCCCAGGUCACACAACUAGGAAGGGUGGAGCCAGGAUGCAAAUGAUACGGAAUUUUAAAAAAUGGGUAGUUGAGUGAAUGAAUAAAUGGAUGACCUGUUUACAUCCUUUCUCAUUUUUAA